ACAUUCACAUAAAACAUUUUCAGAAUCAGCAUACUCCAAAUACAAACAUACUUCAAAAUCAUACAAAUUGGUCCAGUGGUUCAAAAGAUAGAUCGUAAUCCUUUGUGACCACAGGAAGCAUGGCUUUUCUGCCCAAAACCAGUUCCACAGAGUCUUCUAUCCUGGAGAUAAUUGUGAAGUAAUCCAAUUAUCUCCAAAGACAGAGGCAAAACUCCAUUGAACACAUGGCAG
Non-coding RNA from Pelobates cultripes (western spadefoot toad), 231 nucleotides. The record is from the annotation of a GenBank genome assembly. NCBI's taxonomy places the organism in Eukaryota, Metazoa, Chordata, Amphibia, Anura, Pelobatidae.